RNAcentral lists this ribosomal RNA (774 nucleotides) under uncultured Neocallimastigales. RNAcentral describes it as "partial large subunit ribosomal RNA". It matches the Rfam family "Eukaryotic large subunit ribosomal RNA", at positions 26 to 644 of the family's 3401-position model. The record is from RNAcentral. Lineage: Eukaryota; Fungi; Neocallimastigomycota; Neocallimastigomycetes; Neocallimastigales.
CGCAUCUGUGCAUGCAGCAUAUCAAUAAGCGGAGGAAAAGAAACUAACAAGGAUUCCCCUAGUAACGGCGAGUGAAGCGGGAAGAGCUCAAAUUUGAAAUCUUAAAGGGUUUCUCUUUACGAAUUGUAGUUUAAAGAAGUGUUUUCUGUUGAGGUUUUGGUAAAAGUUCUUUGGAAUAGGACAUCAUAGAGGGUGAGAAUCCCGUAUUUGACCUUUACUUUCAACUUUGUGAUACACUUUCAAAGAGUCGGAUUGUUUGGGAAUGCAGUCCAAAAUGGGUGGUAAAUUUCAUCUAAAGCUAAAUAUUGGCGAGAGACCGAUAGCGAACAAGUACCGUGAGGGAAAGAUGAAAAGAACUUUGAAAAGAGAGUUAAACAGUACGUGAAAUUGUCAAAAGGGAAGCGUUUGACACCAGUGUUGUUUUUCUGAAAAUCAAUUAAAGAACUGUUUAUGCUAAGCUGUUUAGACUUUAUCAGCUAUCUGUUUAGUUUUGAGCUUUUCUUUAAUGCACUUUUCAGUUAACAAGUCAACAUCAAUUUCUUUUGCUGUAAAAAAGCUUGAGGAAGGUGGCUUGAGAUUCGUCUUAAGUGUUUAUAGCCUCUUGCCUAUGCAGUCGGAGAGAUUGAGGUCCGCAGCGUAGAUCCUUCGGGGCUAAAUGCAUUUGUGCUAAGUUAUAGCAUUUUAUAGACAACUUGUUGACUAUGAUUUGUCUUGUAGCUUACUCGCUUAUGUUAUUUUACCUACGCUUAGGAUGUUGAAUCUGUGCGAGACUAC